UAUUUUCUAUCGGUGAACCCAAUGUGUUGCAGUGUGUGCAGAAGUGCAAGUGAAGCAUAAAAUGAAAACAAUUCAGUGCAUGUUUGCGAAUGGCAAAGGAAGUUGUUGAUUGAAGGUAGAACAAAAAAGGAAUGAAAAAAAAGUGUAAAGAGAUAAUCCAAUGCAGUAAUGUAUUAAAUAACGCGCCCGCGGUGUGUUUGCUGAGCAGAAACGACACUGUACAGGGGAGGGAAAAAAUAAACAAAAUUUGUUUAGCGUGCGUUGGGUGAUAUGCUGUGGUAUCAGUGAAGAUAUGCGAUUACAAAGCUUAUGCGGCACGAGGGAUUAUACUGCCAAUCACUGCGCUUAGUGGUGUAGUGGGUAUUUUUUUUAGUUUUUGAGUUCUUGUUGGUGGCUUUGGUGUUAAAGUAGUAUGGGUGUGUGUUACAUGAACUUAAUAAAAAAAAUCAUCAAAAAUCAACGAGAACCGUGGAAGAGACAGUUGCCUGUGUUGCCAGCAUGAUUGACGAUGAUUUGAUGCGCACCUAGGAAACUCGUUCGUGCGGAUCGGAUUUCAGCGUGAGCUUUUUGCGGACGUCGAUUCAAGCACACGACCCACGAGCUUGGCGUGAACAUUUGUGAGUGUCCCUUCCGCACAUAUGGUGGC
Long non-coding RNA from Anopheles moucheti, 646 nucleotides. RefSeq lists it as uncharacterized. Lineage: Eukaryota; Metazoa; Arthropoda; Insecta; Diptera; Culicidae. The transcript has 3 exons. The record is from RefSeq and is a predicted model, not a curated record.